Non-coding RNA from Flagelloscypha sp. PMI_526, 103 nucleotides. The record is from the annotation of a GenBank genome assembly. Lineage: Eukaryota; Fungi; Basidiomycota; Agaricomycetes; Agaricales; Niaceae.
GUCACUUUGCCGGAGUGGUUAACGGGAUCGCCUGCUACUUUACCGGUAGACUUAGAUAAGCGGUUGGGCUUUGCCCGCGUGUGUUCGAAUCGCACAGGUGACG